This 532-nucleotide ribosomal RNA is filed under the name Taciturna sp. Mau. RNAcentral describes it as "eukaryotic LSU rRNA". It matches the Rfam family "Eukaryotic large subunit ribosomal RNA", at positions 1457 to 1948 of the family's 3401-position model. The record is from RNAcentral. Lineage: Eukaryota; Metazoa; Arthropoda; Insecta; Orthoptera; Gryllidae.
GUAGUAGCAAAUACUCUAACGAGACCCUUGAGGGCUGAUGUGGAGAAGGGUUUCGUGUGAACAGUUGUUGCACACGAGUCAGUCGAUCCUAAGCUCUAGGGGAAACCCGAUGCAUGCAGGCCGGCAGCCGCAUCGAGCGAAAGGGAAUCCGGUUCCUAUUCCGGAACCCGGUUGCGGAACCGUCUCACGUCGGGCCCCACCCUUAGGGGUGGCAGCUCGAUGGGGUAACCCAAACCAACCCGGAGAAGCCGUCUGGUGGUCGGGGAAGAGUUUUCUUUUCUGUUUGAGCGCUCGGGUUCCCUGGAAUUGUCUAGCACAGAGAUAGGGAAUGGAGCGCGUAGAGCACCGCAGUUGCGGCGGUGUCCCGACUUGCCCUACGGACCUUGAAAAUCCGGGGACGGGUGACGUGGAGGAUUCGCACCGGUUCGUACCCAUAUCCGCAGCAGGUCUCCAAGGUGAAGAGCCUCUAGUCGAUAGACUAAUGUAGGUAAGGGAAGUCGGCAAAUUGGAUCCGUAACUUCGGAAUAAGGAU